GCGCGUGGGGAACGCAGAGCAGCGCUGGCCUGCCCUUGUGGCCUCUGUGCCGUGCUCAGACAAGCUCAGACUUUCCCAGGAAGGCAUUCCAGGUUGCCAAGGGAGGGUCAGGAGUGUGUUGAACCAUCGUUUUCAUCCUCAGCCUCUGCCAAUUCCAUGGAGUUUGGGUCAGACCCCACGUUAUUGCUGUCACUGCUCUUGUGGGUUUUGGGAGAUUUAGCCCAAGGAAGAACUUUUUGAGCACAAGCAUUUCAAUGCCUGAAUCUGUAAGAAGAAUGAAACCUUGACUGGAAAUACGCUGGAAAGCUGUCGUAAUAAAUUUGACAUAAUAUGCAUGACAUGGAUGGAUAGAUCAUUGUUUGCCAGGCCUGGCAAAUAAAACUGGUGUCGUGGAGUCAGAAUUACAGGGGGAGAGAAACAUUGUUCUACAAGGCAUGUUCCAGAGAGGAACCAAAUCUGAAACAGCUAUAUAUUUUACUUGUGCUUAAAUUGAAUAAUAAAAAAGGCUUGCUC
Non-coding RNA from Cyanistes caeruleus (blue tit), 513 nucleotides. Lineage: Eukaryota; Metazoa; Chordata; Aves; Passeriformes; Paridae. The record is from RefSeq and is a predicted model, not a curated record.